GACGAACGCUGGCGGCGUGCCUAAUACAUGCAAGUCGAACGGUUUAGUUCCAAGAGGCUUGCCUUUUGGAACUAGACAGUGGCGGACGGGUGAGUAACACGUAGGCAACCUACCUGUCAAACCGGGAUAACCUCGGGAAACCGAAGCUAAACCCGGAUAAGCUCCUUUUUCGCAUGAAGGGGGAGUGAAAAGGUGCGACCUGAUGACAGAUGGGCCUGCGGCGCAUUAGCUAGUAGGUAGGGUAACGGCCUACCUAGGCGAUGAUGCGUAGCCGACCUGAGAGGGCGUACGGCCACACUGGGACUGAGAUACGGCCCAGACUCCUACGGGAGGCAGCAGUAGGGAAUCUUCGGCAAUGGGCGAAAGCCUGACCGAGCAACGCCGCGUGAGUGAGGAAGGCCUUCGGGUUGUAAAACUCUGUUGUUUGGGAAGAAGGGAAAGGGUAGGACCCUUUGGUGACGGUACCAAACGAGAAAGCCCUGGCUAACUACGUG
RNAcentral lists this ribosomal RNA (494 nucleotides) under uncultured bacterium. Its description in RNAcentral is "partial 16S ribosomal RNA". It matches the Rfam family "Bacterial small subunit ribosomal RNA", at positions 28 to 507 of the family's 1533-position model. The record is from RNAcentral.